UGCACUCUACAGUUCCGCAUUGUGGUUAUCAUGCAGUCAUUCACAACCAAUACGAGAUCGAUCGACUAGAGCAGAGGAAGAAAUGUUUUGUCUAUUUGAAAAGUUAGCUGUCAUAAACACAAAUGAUUACUAUACCGUUUAGCUCAGUUGAAGUGAUGAUUAGGUUGUGAGUUAGUGAUGGAGAACAUUGACGAGACACCGUUUCGGAUCACCCGUACCGUCCAAGCUCUGGGCUCCGCACUACGGGGAGAGCCUGAAAAUGUUCCCGAUGCCGGUCAGGGUAGCAGUGACAGAAUCUCGAGUGAGCCGGAGAAGCUUUGGUUUAAAGAAAGCAGCGCUAAGAAUCUCCAAAACAGGGAUUUCUUGUCACCCACUACGGUGCUGAAUACGCUUUAUGCAGACGGACAGGUUCCCCCAGCAGUGAUGGGUAGAGUGCUGUCCCUGAAAGGGUGUGGGGUUCUCCCUGUGGCUGGUGGGGAGGUCAUGGGAGAGGGGCUGAGGGUGCGGGUUGACCGGAUUGCCGCGUUUCAGAAGGUCCUGAGUGGAGUGUCGGCGUACCUGAAGCCUCCUAGCCAGAGACAGGGGGGUGUGGUGCUCAACUGCCCGGCCCUUCACCCCAAACCCAAUUUACCCUCCCCGGACACACUCACGCUGGGGCAACUACGCACCGUGCUGCUGACUGACCACUUAGGGGCGCUACUGAGGAGACAGGGGUUUACUGUGUCCUGCUGCCCUGUGCUGCCUGAAGAUAGCAACAUCAUCGUCUUCCUCCGAAUGCUUGGCGUCGAUUGGCCGUCAGUGCCGGUCAGCUGGACCAAUGACGAGAGGGAGGAGAAGAUGUUGGAGGCUUUACAGAAUUCCCCGUACAAAGAAAGAGAGGAGACAGAUGGAGGAAGGCGAGAGAGUGAAGGAAAGAAGAUGGAGGGAGAGAAGGAGUGGGGGACGCUCAGGGUGAACUUGAAGAGGGUGUUUCAGGAGGAGCAACUGCCAGGGUAUGACCCCAGCCUGGGUACCUGUACAGUGCAACGAGACAGUGUGUCUCAUCUGGCCCAACUGGACAGGGCUACUGCAGACUGCACAGUAUCCACAGCAACCGCGGUACAUGUCACUUCCUGUCAGGAUGAGUUCCGUCAGCAGCAGAUAGCGAUGCUAUGGAGAGCCAGCGGUGCAACAGUGACACAGACCAUCCCUGGAGACCUUCUCCCAUUCCUCACUUCCUUCAUGAACUCAUCCCUGACCGUUUCCCCAUCUGACUUUAAGAUGGCCAGAGUCAAGAAGCCAACACUCGACUCCUCUGACGUCAAAAACAACAGACCGAUUGAUCCGUUGCCUUCGACACCGUGGACCAAUAGAUCCUCCUUCCCACCCUCUCAGGGUUUGGCCGUCUCAGGCUCUGCACACUCCUGGAUUGCAUCCCACCUGGCAGGUCGCUCUCACCAGUUGGCGUGUCAUUGCUACGCAGAUGACACUCAUAUACUCCCCCCCCCCCCUUCUGACACCCAGGUGGCGACACGCAUCUCAGCUUGGAUGUCGGCCCACCACCUCAAGCUCAACUUCGACAGAACGUGUUUGACAACUUCAAGGUGUUCCCCUCCCAGAGUGCAAAGAACCUUGGCGGGACCCUGGAUAACUCCCUGUCGUUCUCUGCAAACAUCAAAGCAGUGACUCGCUCCUGCAGGUUCAUGCUCUACAACAUCCGUAGAGUACCUUUCCUCACACAGGAAGUGGGGCAGGUCAUAAUCCAGGCAUUUGACAUCUCCCGUCAAGACAACUGCAACUCUGUUGGCUGGGCUCCCCACUUGUGCCAUCAAACCAGAGUAUGUGGGCGGAGCUGGAGCGGACCGUGCCCAAUUUGACUGGAGCGAGAUUCUCAAAGGCUGGAGCGUCGGCCUUCUCGCCUGCUCCUAUUUCCAUCCAGUAGCGCUCACUUCACGAGCUCAGGGCAUUCCCGGCCCAGCAUGCAUCUGUAGUCUACUUGUGUGCUGCUAUAACCCCUUAAUGUCAUGUAGUUCGCUAAAUAUUUCCAUAAAGAAACUGAUAAAACAUACAGGUGCAAAGUCAAAGGUGACUUAUAAAGAUGAGGACCAAGAGAAAGAGAGGGAGUGCGGUGGUGUAGUGUCCACAACUAAAUAAUCAUUGUGGAAUCUGAAAAGGCACGUAUAUUGAAAGCAUGAUGGUGUACUUACUAGGUGCACAUGCUAAAAGAAAGGAACGAACUGGGUAGAUAACUAAGUGUGUCAUUGUAGCAAAGUAUUUCUAAACUAAAAAUCAGAUCUCUUAAACGUUUAGCAAAUGUUUUGUUCUAUUAUCUAUACAUUAGACCAUAAUUGAUUUUUUCAUUUAAUUUUGUAUUUAAUUCUUAGUAAAUCACAGCCUAUUAUGCACAAUUUAUAGACUACAAUGAUUUAACACAUCAAAAUGUUGUUUAAAAUGGUGAGCGCUUUAUGUCCCUACCAGCCUAUUGUCACACUCGCAAAUGCUUCACUGUGUAUUUAUUUGUAGGCAAAAGCCUUGAAAUAAUAGAGCCUAAAUAAUUCCUUCUUAGGCUCCCUGUCUGGCUCCUGACCUAUCUAGGGUGCUGUUUAGUAAUUCGAUUUGAAAUUAUGUGCGCUUCUUACAUUCAGCUUUUCAUGUUUAUUCAAAUACUUUUAAUUCCAAAUCCAUAUGAUUUGGUUUCAAUACUUCAAAACCAAAUGGUAGGUCCAGGUAGUCAGAAAAAUAGAUGUUUGUUGGUAAAAUUGUGAUUUUAAUGAAUGGAGCGGAUGUUUUUUGUUGUAGUGAGUGCGGAGCGGUUUUUAACGGAGCGGUUGGAAAGGACAUGGGAGUGCUCAACUCCGCUCACAUGCUCUGUAUCGAACCCAUGCAAAUGAUCCAGAAUGCUGCAGCCCGGCCGGUGUUCGGCCUUCCUAAGGUCUCCCAUGUCGCCCCGCUCCUCCGCACACUCCACUGGCUUUCAGUGGAAGCUCGCAUCAUCUUCAAGACCCUGGUGCUUGCCUAUGGAGCAGCACGAGGAACGGCCUUCAGGCUAUGCUCAAAACCCUACACCCCCAACAGGAGCACUCCUGCCACCUCUGGUCUCUUGGCCCUCCCACUCCUACGGGAUGGCAGCUCCCACUCAGCCCAGUCAAUGAUCUUCUCUGUCCUGGCACCCCAAUGGUGGAACAAGCUUCCCCCUAAAGUAAGGGGGAAAACGUCUGAAACCCGGCCUCUUUGAAGAGUACCUUUUUAAAGCUAAAAUAUGUAACUUAUUGGGCGACCCGACCAAAUUCACAUAGAAAUGUGUGUUGUAGAUCUGUCAUUCUCAUUGAAAGCAAGUCUAAGAAGCAGUAGAUCUGCUUUAUGUGCGCUAUUUUUAUGCUGCCAGUUCUUAAGUUUAGUUUUUGUGUCUUUUACUUUCGGUUUUGUACACUAGCUUCAAACAAUAUUUGGCGUUAUAUAAAUAGAUUUCACAGCGUUUUAGAUGUUACAAUGGUUCUCUACACUAUAGUUGAUUGUGUUGUCACAUGAACUAAAAUUAGGCGAACUAUUAGAAUUUUAGCAACCAGGAAAUGAGGGCGUGAUUUCUGCAUAAUGCAGCUUUAAAUAACUCAAGGCGCCCCUCCAAAAUGAAAGAAAAAGGCACUGGUUCUAAUAGCACGGACUUUGCUGAUUUUAAACACUUUGUUGAGGUAAAAAUGUACUUAAAACGUUUGUGAUGGGUUGUUGUCUCUCAACCUAUCCCGGCUGCAACCAGAUACAUUAUGAGGGAACCAGUUUUCCCUCUUUCUGUUUCUCAGAGGCAUCUAGUUUGUGGACCAGUGAAGACUCCUGGAAGUCACCUCAGUGCGGCCCAGUAUCUCCAACUGAGAAGAGUGCAGAUGAAGGAGGCCUCGGAGAUGAAGUACGGAGAACAAGUCAAAGGCCAGACUUGGGAUGACAUCAUCAAGGUCAUGACCUCAGCCACUGUGAGGUUUGAGCUGCUCUCAACGGUCCAUAUGAGCCCGGUCACCCUGGACGUGCAGAGGGAAGGCAGUGUGUCCACCAAAGGCCCCAGAGGCGGAGUCUUUGUCAUGUACAACUGUGCUCGGCUCCACACCCUCUUUGACAGUUACGAGCGAGGCAUGGAGAAGGGACUUUACCCUGAAAUCCCAGAGGGCUCCCAGUUGGACUUCUCAGCUCUAAAAGAAGAGGGGGAGUGGCUUCUUCUGUUCAAUUACCUCAUUCCAUUCUCUGAGCUUCUCGACCAAUCAGGACAGGCGUUGGAGUGUGAUGGAGGGGCCAGAGUCAACCUGAAGACUGAACAGAUCUGCAAGUUCCUGGUGUCUCUCAGUAAGGAUUUUAGCUCCUAUUACAACAGAGUCCACGUCCUUGGGGAGCCGUUGCCUCACCUCUUCAAUCAGAUGUUCUGUCGGCUGCAGUUGUUGAGAGCACUGAGAGAGCUCUACCAUCGCGCGUUGGAUACUCUUCACCUUCCUCCCAUCCGGCAGCUAUAGCCACAAAUACCCCAACUGUAGCCCCGAAUAUAGCCCCAACUGUAGCCCCAACAAAUGCGCCCAACAUACCCCAACAAAUGCCCCGAAUAUAGCCCCAACUGUAGCCCCAACAAAUGCCCCGAAUAUAGCCCCAACAAAUGCCCCGAAUAUAGCCCCAACAAAUGCCCCCAAAAUGCCCUGAAUAUAGCCCCAACAAAUGCCCCCAAAAUACCCCAACUGUAGCCCCAACAAAUGCCCCCAAAUACUCCAACUAUGCCCCAUGAACUUCCCCAAAUAUAAGGCCUAAUAACUGCCGUAAAUUAUCACUAGCCUAUCCCCUACAUGAAAUACACAUAUAAAUUUCACUUUUACUACUGUACUGUAGCUAUUAGGCUUUUAUCCCCCCCAAUUAAAACCCUGUGAAGUCCUCUUAUGUAUAUGUGACAUACACCUGGUAUUACACCCAGUCUAUUUACUGUUGAUGAAAGAAACUGUAGAGAUGAUUUGCACCCCUGUGUGAAGCCUUGGUCUCCCCAGACGUAUCACCAGUAUCUCUGAUGCACCACAGAUGCAGCCUCUACCAGAGACCCUCACUGCCUUUGAAACGAUGAACAUCUGCCUGUCUUCGGUCUUCCCUUCUACGAUACCAUAGACACUAUUCCGCUAACAGACAACUGCCCUAGAGCCAUAGAUAUAGUAUUUACACACACUGUUUGUACACCGUGUAAGCACUGCCCCCGUCCUCUUCACUAGAUAUUGCUCCUGGCCACCAUGAGCCAUUUACUGUCCCCUUCUCCCUUCCCCUCCUACUUGAAUAAUACAAAUAUAUAUAUUUCAUUGGAACUGGCUGUGUCAGUAUUAUAUAUAUAUAUACUGUGGUAAACCGUGGGGUGUUGGGUUGAGCGUGCAGAGAUUGACACAGAGACAGGGGGGGGCUUUAGUCUGCAAAAACAAAUAUAUCAAAGAAAUUGCUCGGUCUUCCUUCUCUCUCUUAACCGGUGUCCGUCUCUCACCCGCGGUGUGCCACCGUGCUCCUUUAAAAAAAUAAAUGUGUCCGUUAUUUUACCAGGUAAAUUGACUGAGAACACGUUCUCAUUUGCAGCAAAUGACCUGGGGAAUAGUUACAGGGGAGAGGAUGGGGAUGAAUGAGCCAAUUGUAAACUGGGGAUUAUUAGGUUACCGUGAUGGUUGGAGGGCCAGAUUGAGAUUUUAGCCAGGACAACGGGGUUAACACCCCUACGAUAAGUGCCAUGGGAUAUUUAAUGACCUCAGAGAGUCAGGACCCCCAUUUAACGUCCAAUCCAAAAGACUGCACCCUACACAGGGCAAUUCCUGGGGAAUUGGGAUAUUUUGUUUUUAGACCAGAGGAAAGAGUGCCUCCUACUGGCCCUCCAACACCACUUCCAGCAGCAUCUGGUCUCCCAUCCAGGAACUGACCAGUACCAACCCUGCUUAGCUUCAAAAGUAAGCCAGCAGUGGUAUGCAGGGUGGUAUGCUGCUGGUAUUUGGACUCCACGGCUGGUUGGCACUUUCCCAGGGUAGACCUCCUGGGAUACCACAAUAUAUAUAUGGAAUGAUACAUGUGACAUAGACUAACCCACCACCACCACCACCACCACAGUACUUCUGUUGUGCCAAAGUACUAUACAGUACUGUCCCAGAUCCCAGUUCUCCAUUGUCGCUCUGUGCCAUAUCUUGGGACUGUUGUUAUUGUGUACGUUUUUUGUGUUUUUAUGGUGACCCGAGCUUUACACAGACUCUCACUCUCUCCCACAAUGUUGUCAACUGUGCAUUGGGCCAAUAUAUUUUCCACCUAGAUCAAUAAAUGAGUGUUGACCUCGGUGA
Molecule: RNA transcript, 6296 nt
Organism: Oncorhynchus kisutch (coho salmon)
Lineage: Eukaryota; Metazoa; Chordata; Actinopteri; Salmoniformes; Salmonidae
Gene: dalrd3
Gene name: DALR anticodon binding domain containing 3
Exons: 14
Source: RefSeq, a predicted model, not a curated record